UCUUUCUCCUUGCCUUUGUCGGAAGAUUCAUUUUUGUUACGACGGGAACGGGAUGAUGAUUCGACAGGGGUGGUAGAGUCCAUGGGUGCAGGAUGAGCGCGAGUGGGGCGAGUGGAACGAGUGCGGGCAGUGGCGACAGCGAUUGAAGGAGCAGUGGCAGUAGCAGCGGUGGAGGUGGAAGAGGAAGUAGUAGUGGCGGCAGUAAGUCGAGAGCGUUUCCGGGAGCGGGUGGUGGGACCGGAGGACGAAGAUGAAGGGGCUGUUGAGGAGGCCUCCGCCCGCUUCCGGCUCCGCGUUUCCAUACAAAAACUAAGCCUCCCCGAUUAAAUCCGUGGUCGCGAUUCACGCGGCACCGGAUCGGGUAGUAAUCCUCGGCAUCUGAAAGCAAGAAAAUUUAAAAAAUCACUGAAAAUUGAGGAGAAUGCAACAUUCGUUCCGGUCGAAAUCAAGCAAUCCAACCAACGAAUCAAUUCAAAACCCUAGAAAUUAUAUACAAGUAAAUAAUUACAGAGGGAGAAUUGAGUAAAUUGGAUGGGUAAAUUUGGGGAAUUAGGGACUUGUGAGGAAGAA
Molecule: unclassified non-coding RNA, 570 nt
Filed under: Hevea brasiliensis (rubber tree)
Lineage: Eukaryota; Viridiplantae; Streptophyta; Magnoliopsida; Malpighiales; Euphorbiaceae
Source: RNAcentral